AUGAUAGAACAGAAAAGGUUUGACAGUAUUGCUUACAGUUGGGGGGGUAAAAUAAAAACAAUCUCUCACUGCUCCUCUCACUGCUCCUGCUCCUCUCACUGCUCCGCUCACUGCUCCUCUCACUGCUCCUGCUCCUCUCACUGCUCCGCUCACUGCUCCUCUCACUGCUCCUGCUUCCCUCACUGCUCCGCUCACUUCUCCUCUCACUGCUCCUGCUCCUCUCACUGCUCCGCUCACUGCUCCUCUCACUGCUCCUGCUUCCCUCACUGCUCCGCUCACUGCUCCUCUCACUGCUCCUGCUUCCCUCACUGCUCCGCUCACUGCUCCUCUCACUGCUCCUGCUCCUCUCACUUCUCCUCUCACUGCUCCGCUCACUGCUCCUCUCACUGCUCCUGCUCCUCUCACUGCUCCUCUCACUGCUCCUCUCACUGCUCCUGCUUCCCUCACUGCUCCGCUCACUGCUCCUCUCACUGCUCCUGCUCCUCUCACUGCUCCUGCUCAUCUCACUGCUCCGCUCACUGCUCCUCUCACUGCUCCUGCUUCCCUCACUGCUCCGCUCACUGCUCCUCUCACUGCUCCUGCUCCUCUCACUGCUCCUGCUCAUCUCACUGCUCCGCUCACUGCUCCUCUCACUGCUCCUGCUUCCCUCACUGCUCCGCUCACUGCUCCUCUCACUGCUCCUGCUUCCCUCACUGCUCCGCUCACUGCUCCUCUCACUGCUCCUGCUCCUCUCACUUCUCCUCUCACUGCUCCGCUCACUGCUCCUCUCACUGCUCCUGCUCCUCUCACUGCUCCUCUCACUGCUCCUCUCACUGCUCCUGCUUCCCUCACUGCUCCGCUCACUGCUCCUCUCACUGCUCCUGCUCCUCUCACUGCUCCUCUCACUGCUCCUCUCACUGCUCCUGCUCCUCUCACUGCUCCGCUCACUGCUCCUCUCACUGCUCCUGCUCCUCUCACUGCUCCGCUCACUGCUCCUCUCACUGCUCCUGCUCAUCUCACUGCUCCGCUCACUGCUCCUCUCACUGCUCCUGCUUCCCUCACUGCUCCGCUCACUGCUCCUCUCACUGCUCCUGCUCCUCUCACUGCUCCGCUCACUGCUCCUCUCACUGCUCCUGCUCCUCUCACUGCUCCUGCUCAUCUCACUGCUCCGCUCACUGCUCCUCUCACUGCUCCUGCUUCCCUCACUGCUCCGCUCACUGCUCCUCUCACUGCUCCUGCUCCUCUCACUUCUCCUCUCACUGCUCCUCUCACUGCUCCUGCUUCCCUCACUGCUCCGCUCACUGCUCCUCUCACUGCUCCUGCUCCUCUCACUGCUCCUCUCACUGCUCCUGCUCCUCUCACUUCUCCUCUCACUGCUCCUGCUCCUCUCACUUCUCCUCUCACUGCUCCGCUCACUGCUCCUCUCACUGCUCCUGCUCCUCUCACUUCUCCUCUCACUGCUCCGCUCACUGCUCCUCUCACUGCUCCUGCUCCUCUCACUUCUCCUCUCACUGCUCCUCUCACUGCUCCUGCUUCCCUCACUGCUCCGCUCACUGCUCCUCUCACUGCUCCUGCUCCUCUCACUUCUCCUCUCACUGCUCCUCUCACUGCUCCUGCUUCCCUCACUGCUCCGCUCACUGCUCCUCUCACUGCUCCUGCUCCUCUCACUUCUCCUCUCACUGCUCCUCUCACUGCUCCUCUCACUGCUCCUGCUCCUCUCACUUCUCCUCUCACUGCUCCUCUCACUGCUCCUCUCACUGCUCCUGCUUCCCUCACUGCUCCGCUCACUGCUCCUCUCACUGCUCCUGCUCCUCUCACUUCUCCUCUCACUGCUCCGCUCACUGCUCCGCUCACUGCUCCUGCUCCUCUCACUUCUCCUCUCACUUCUCCUCUCACUGCUCCUGCUCUUCUCCCUGGGCCCCUUGCUCUUACUCUUCCUCGUCCAUACGUUACAGUGUUUGUCUUUUUCUGUUUCUGUUUCCAAAAAUAUUACUCUUCAAAGUUCUCCUUUUAUUGUAUAAGUGUCAAUGUAAUAGAAAAAAAUAA
This is a long non-coding RNA of Carassius auratus (goldfish), 2025 nucleotides long. NCBI's taxonomy places the organism in Eukaryota, Metazoa, Chordata, Actinopteri, Cypriniformes, Cyprinidae. The record is from Ensembl.